GUGCAAACUCAAUCACUAACUCUGCAUGCCAUUGCAGAAAUGAAGGUAACCACAUUACUAACAUAAUUAUAGUGCUAGAAAUAUAUUAUUAACCUCAGUGGGCCGGGAGAUGUUGCAGUGGAUAAAUCACUGGACUCUCCAGCAUGAGGUUCUG
Small nucleolar RNA from Erinaceus europaeus (western European hedgehog), 154 nucleotides. The record is from Ensembl. Lineage: Eukaryota; Metazoa; Chordata; Mammalia; Eulipotyphla; Erinaceidae.